GGGUUGCUAACUCAAUGGUAGAGUACUCGGCUUUUAUCCGACUAGUUCCGGGUUCGAAUCCCGGGCAACCCA
This 72-nucleotide transfer RNA is filed under the name Clerodendranthus spicatus. RNAcentral's name for it is "tRNA-Lys". It matches the Rfam family "tRNA". From Rfam's summary of the family: Transfer RNA (tRNA) molecules are approximately 80 nucleotides in length. Their secondary structure includes four short double-helical elements and three loops (D, anti-codon, and T loops). Further hydrogen bonds mediate the characteristic L-shaped molecular structure. tRNAs have two regions of fundamental functional importance: the anti-codon, which is responsible for specific mRNA codon recognition, and the 3' end, to which the tRNAs corresponding amino acid is attached (by aminoacyl-tRNA synthetases). tRNAs cope with the degeneracy of the genetic code in two manners: having more than one tRNA (with a specific anti-codon) for a particular amino acid; and 'wobble' base-pairing, i.e. permitting non-standard base-pairing at the 3rd anti-codon position. Lineage: Eukaryota; Viridiplantae; Streptophyta; Magnoliopsida; Lamiales; Lamiaceae. The record is from RNAcentral.